Molecule: transfer RNA, 58 nt
Filed under: Salmo salar (Atlantic salmon)
Lineage: Eukaryota; Metazoa; Chordata; Actinopteri; Salmoniformes; Salmonidae
Rfam family: tRNA
About the family: Transfer RNA (tRNA) molecules are approximately 80 nucleotides in length.
Source: Rfam by way of RNAcentral
UGGCUCAGUUGGAAGAGCAUGGUGUUUGCAACGCCAGGGUUGUGGGUUCGAAUCCCAC